This 424-nucleotide ribosomal RNA is filed under the name uncultured Bacteroides sp. RNAcentral's name for it is "bacterial SSU rRNA". It matches the Rfam family "Bacterial small subunit ribosomal RNA", at positions 338 to 779 of the family's 1533-position model. The record is from RNAcentral. Lineage: Bacteria; Pseudomonadati; Bacteroidota; Bacteroidia; Bacteroidales; Bacteroidaceae.
CCUACGGGCGGCAGCAGUGGGGAAUAUUGCACAAUGGGGGAAACCCUGAUGCAGCGACGCCGCGUGAAGGAAGAAGUAUCUCGGUAUGUAAACUUCUAUCAGCAGGGAAGAUAGUGACGGUACCUGACUAAGAAGCCCCGGCUAACUACGUGCCAGCAGCCGCGGUAAUACGUAGGGGGCAAGCGUUAUCCGGAUUUACUGGGUGUAAAGGGAGCGUAGACGGUGUGGCAAGUCUGAUGUGAAAGCCCGGGGCUCAACCCCGGUACUGCAUUGGAAACUGGCCACCUAGAGUGUCGGAGGGGUAAGUGGAAUUCCUAGUGUAGCGGUGAAAUGCGUAGAUAUUAGGAGGAACACCAGUGGCGAAGGCGGCUUACUGGACGGUAACUGACGUUGAGGCUCGAAAGCGUGGGGAGCAAACAGGAUU